CCUUCAGCUUUGGUCCCUCGGGGCGUCUGGGCAGCCUACGCUUUCCGGAUAAAAAUGGCAGAAUGAAAGAAUUAUGAGUGGAACUAGAGAAUAGGAAAGACAUGAACCAACGCCCAAAAUGAGAAAGAAGGACAUAUAAAGAAAAAGACAAAUACAAGUGAAAAAAAUAGACUAAUGGAUUAACGUCCCUGUCGUGUGACAUUUUCUGACUGGAAUCAGCCAUUUUACCAAGAAAGUUGGGUUUCUUUUACUGGCAAAUAGUACUUCAAGAGCACAGUCUUAUGUAAGAAGUACAGUCUAUAUAAAGACUGUCCAGGACAAAAACUGGCCACUCCAUUCAGCAUUGACAGCAGUAUUUAAAGCUGGUGCAUGGUGAGGUGAAGUUUCUCAAGGGCAAAGACAAUGCCUUCAUGCAUGUUCAGUGUCUGCCCCCGUGGGCUUUGAAAUGAUCGCUGACAAUGGGGGAUCUGCAGUGACUUCUCUGCCUCUGCCAAAGCCCAGGGGUGCUGCUCCCUAAUUCUAAGGAUUCUAAUGAGACUCAGAGCAGGUGUAACACAGGGCAUGGAGCUUCCUGAGCAAGAGGCUGGCUAACAAACUGUGGACGUGGUACUUAGACACAUUAAGAGACAUUACAGGGACACCUGCAAGUAUGUCUCCCUGGGGAGAAGCCAAGUGCAGAUGCUAUGGCCACAGAUGAUAUGGUUUGGCUCUGUGUCCCCACUCAAAUCUCAUCUCAAGUUGUAAUCCCUGGAUGUCGAGGGAGGGACCUGGUGGGAGGUGAUUGGAUUGGUUCGCAUGAUAGUGAGGGAGUUCUCACGAGAUCUGGUUGUUUGAUAAGUGUCUGGCAUUUCUCCUGUGCUGUCUCUCCUGCCACCUUGUGAAGAAGGUGCCUGCUUCUCCUUCGCCUUCCGCCAUGAUUGUAAGUUUCCUGAGGCCUCCCUAGCAAUGCAGAACUGUGAGUCAAUUAAACUUCCUUUCUUUAUAAAUUACCCAGUCUCGAAUGGUAUCUUUAUACCAAUGUAAGAACAGACUAAUACAGACAGGGACCACAAAGCAAGAAUUUAGGGCCUGAAGAGUCUUCAGCAUUGAAAAUCUUCACUCAGAAUCCCUGGUCCCUGCAUUGAGAGCACUGGGUAGAUCACUGAACUCCCCUGACAACACUGCAAAGUGCUGGGUACCUACGAUGCCACACCCUCUCCUCUGACCUCACAGUGUUAAAGUAAGGGGGCCCAUAGUACACGAUGUUACUGUCAGCAUGCUAUGUGUCGUGACUCAGCAACAGCACAUUCACCAAAGGAGAAACCCCUCCGUCUCUCUAUCUAGGCAGCCAGCCUUUUGACUUGUAUUCGGGGAUCUGGAGACUAUCAUUCCCUUAGGAAUUAGGUUCACUAGAGGAGCAUUCUGGUCACUAUGGGACAUUUUCCUCUGAAUUUGAAAGUAAACAGCCCCUGAAAGCAACAGGAAGACAUAAUCAGAGAACUCAGCAUUAAAAACCAAUAAUGAAUAGUAUCAAUGUAAUGCUUCCAUUAGAAACCUCUACUUUUACCAAAAUGAUUUAAAUGGGGUUGCUCAGAACUGAGUCCUCUCCAUCUCUGACAGCCCAUGCUGGGUUGUGAAGGUGUGUGCUUAUUGCUGAGGACUGGAAAGGGGGCAUUUCUUGGAGCCUUGGAGCCCUGGGAGCGAGCCAGCCACCUCUCUCCAGAUGACAGGCCUACCGGACACCACUCUCCUCCCCGAGCUGUAUGUCAAAAGGCCAUAAAGCUUGCAAAUGCAUGCAGACCGACUCGCCCCUUGAGUAUCAGUGGCUCUUGGAAAAUACAGAGAAUAACUGGAACAUCAACUAAAGUCCCCCAUAAUCCCAACACCAGAGACAGCCUGUGUUAAGAGUUUUUGGGUUUCCUUCUGUACUAUUCUUGAUGUAUCUGGCAAAGGGACCUCAAAAGCAGGGAGUGUGCAGGGGAGGAAGCCUGGCUCCACCACCCCCACACCAAAGGGAGCCUCAGGCUCCAUGAGGAAGAGAGCUUUUCCUUUAUAAAGCAAGGUCUUGGCCAGGUGCGGUGGCUCACGCCUAUAAUCCCAACACUUUGGGAGGCUGAGGCAGGCAGAUCACUUGAGCUCAGGAGCUGGAGAACAGCCUGGGUAACAUGGCGAACCCCUGUGUCUACAAAAAAUACAAAAAUUAGCUGGGCGUGGGUGGUGCAUGCCUCAAGUCCCAGCUACUUGGGAGGUGGAGAUUGCAGUGAGCUGAGCUCGCGCCACUGCAUUCCAGCACCCCAGCCUGGGUAAUAGAGUAAGACCCUGUCUCCAAAAAAAAAAAGGUUGUGGUUGUGGCUUCCUCUUGCUGACUCACUCGUGGCAGUGCCCCCCAAGGCUUGCCCUAUGGCUUCUCACAGAAGUGACAAGAGAAGCAUCCCGGAUGGGAACCCAGCCCUUCUCAGUCUAGCGUCCAUCUGCUGCUGCCUACAUAGAAAUUUACUAUGUUUACACCAGGAAAAUGAUGCUUUAAACCCACAGAAGAAAAGCAUGUAGGCCAGGAGCAGUGGCUCACACCUGAAUCCCAGCACUUUGGGAGGCUGUGUGGGAGGGUUGCUUGAACCCAGGAGUUUAAAAAGACCAUCUUGGGCAAAAUGGUGAAACCCAAUCUCUACAAAAAAAGUUAAAAAAAAAUAAAAAACCAAGUAAUGCAACCUGUAAAGGAUGCCAAGCUUCUAAUCCAAGGGGAUUCAGAACCCCUGUGAGGCACUGUAGCUCCCCACUUUACCUUCACAAUACACGACGUGUCUGAAAACACAAGGAGCCAGCCUUGAGCUGAGGUGGUCGGGGAAGGUCACCCACAAAACAGGUUAGACAGUGGGACCCCGAGCGAGAAGAAGCUUGCUUUUUUUUUUUUUUUUUUUUUGAGACAGAGCUUUUUGCUCUUGUCGCCCAGGCUGGAGUACAGUGGCGCGAUCUCGGCUCACAGCAACCUCCGCCUCCUGGGUUCAAAUGAUUCUCCUGCCUCAGCCUCCUGAGUAGCUGGGACUACAGGCAUGCGCCUCCAUGCCUGGCUAAUUUUUGUAUUUUUAGUAGAGACGGGGUUUCUCCACGUUGGUCAGGCUGGUCUCAAACUCCCAACCUCAGGUGAUCCACCCACCUCAGCCUCCCAAAGUGCUGGGAUUACAGGAGUGAGCCACCGCACCCGGCAGGAAAGAAGCAUUUUUAAGGAUUCUCUGUCGGGCCAUGUCUGACAGCUCAUCCAUGUAACAGUGAGGUCAGACAGUGCCAUCUUCUCAAGGGUGUCCACUUCUCUCAGUUUAAAAUCCAAAGGCCUUCCCUGGCAUCACAGCCCACAGAUCUGCCCUGCCCCCUACCCCGCCCCGACCCCUCCGUGGCUGUUCCCUCGGCCUGGCACUUUCUCCUGCAAACAUCCCAGUCUCUGUGGGCCUGUCCUGGCCCUGCUCCCACCCAUCUGCUUCUGCCUGCCAUGGUGCUCCCUGGCUUCCUAAGGCGUCCCUUAGACACUGUAUUAGGUUUGUUCGUGUUCUCCCAGUAGAGUGCAAGCUCUAGGAUGGUAGGAAUUUAGUCUUUUGCUCACUGCUGCAUCUCCAGUGCCUGGAACAUUGCCUGACACAUAACAGGUGUUCAAAAGAAACCUGUGGAGUGAAUGGUUCCCGAGCCAGUCACUGGGCCCCUAAGUGGGGCAGGAGGGGAGUGGCUCACAGCCUCUUGUGUUCUAUCAACAGAUGCACCAUUACAGGUACACAGCAAUAUGUCAGGAGUCACACCUGCACGUUACAAAUGGUAAAAAAGGGAAAUCGAGUGUCCUGCACUGACUGAGGCCCCUGCUAUGUGCAGUCCUAGGUACCCAUGGUCUCUCAGAGGUGGUUUCAAUAGUACUGUUUUCCUGCCAGUUUUGAGUACCCGUUGACAGAGGACAACACUGAAACCAUUAUCAUCUUAUGACUCUAAUUUUAGUUUUCUUUAGCUCCUAAUAACACUUGACCUCCAAUAAUACUAGAGUCUAGCAGGUUCAUGUUAAGGUAAUGGGCACAAAUGACAGAGAUGAAAUCACAGUGCAGAGGAAAUGGCACAAAGCCAUUUGUACCAUUUGGGAAUCCUGCUAAACCACUGGAAUCUAAGUUAAUUUUUUUUUGGAAGAAAAAGAGAGAUCCUCUGCCUCAGUCCUCCUGAGUAACUGAGACUACAGGCAUGCACCACCAUGCCCGGCUAAUUUUUUUUAAUUUUUGUAGAGAUGGGGUCUCCCUGUGUUGCCCAGGCUGGACUCAAACACCUGGCUUCAAGUGUUCCUCCCCCUCAGCCUCCCAAAGUGCUAGGAUUACAUGCGUGAGCCACUGUACCCAGCCUGAGUUAACUGUUUUAAGAUAAUAUUUUAAGAAGACACUGAGAUACUUUGCCCAACAGAAACCAGGAGGAAAAACAGAGAUUUAAAAGAUGGAAUUCAAGAACCCAUUUAAGUCAAGGAUUCUCUGCCUACCUAGAGCUGCCAGGAACUCGUGGCAUCCCGGGAGCCGCCACAGCUGGACGCUGAUGGAGACCUGAAUGGGAGCUGAUGCCAAGUCCUGCUCCUUCUCGCCAGCCUGGAGCUGAACCAGCACCUGGUGGAGCUGAGGAAGGGGGGACAGCGUGAGCACCCUGUGUCUCCUUCCCCUCCAGCCCACCUCAAGACUCGACCCAUUAUUCUUAUGUCACCUGUCACUGGCAUCGCUAAUGACCCUCUCAUGAGUGUAGCAUUU
Molecule: long non-coding RNA, 4733 nt
Filed under: Homo sapiens (human)
Lineage: Eukaryota; Metazoa; Chordata; Mammalia; Primates; Hominidae
Description: HSALNT0405533
Rfam family: TTC28 antisense RNA 1 conserved region 2 (bases 52-208)
Source: RNAcentral